UGUCCCAGUUCGGACUGGAGUCUGCAACCCGACUCCACGAAGUUGGAUUCGCUAGUAAUCGCGCAUCAGCCAUGGCGCGGUGAAUACGUUCCCGGGCCUUGUACACACCGCCCGUCAAGCCAUGGGAGCCGGGGGCGCCUGAAGUCCGGGACCGCGAGGACCGGCCUAGGGGCGAAACUGGUAACUGGGGCUAAGUCGUAACAAGGUAAC
RNAcentral lists this ribosomal RNA (210 nucleotides) under uncultured bacterium. RNAcentral's name for it is "partial 16S ribosomal RNA". It matches the Rfam family "Bacterial small subunit ribosomal RNA", at positions 1284 to 1500 of the family's 1533-position model. The record is from RNAcentral.